Molecule: ribosomal RNA, 439 nt
Filed under: uncultured bacterium
Lineage: Bacteria
Description: bacterial SSU rRNA
Rfam family: Bacterial small subunit ribosomal RNA
Source: RNAcentral
GGUGGCGACCGGCGCACGGGUGCGUAACGCGUAUGCAACCUGCCCCCAGUCAGGGAUAGCCCGCCGAAAGGCGGAUUAAUGCCCCAUAGGCCCAGGGCGCCGCAUGGCGCUAUGGGUAAAGCUCCGGCGGAUGGGGAUGGGCAUGCGUGCCAUUAGCUAGUUGGGGCGGUAACGGCGCACCAAGGCGACGAUGGCUAGGGGGUCUGAGAGGAUGGUCCCCCCACACUGGUACUGAGACACGGACCAGACUCCUACGGGAGGCAGCAGUGAGGAAUAUUGGUCAAUGGGCGGAAGCCUGAACCAGCCCAUGCCGCGUGCAGGAUGACGGCCCUACGGGUUGUAAACUGCUUUUCCCCGGGAAGAAUAAGCCCCUCGUGACGGGGUUGACCUUGCCGGUACCGGGGAACUUAAGGAUCGGCUACUCCGUGCCAGCAGCCGC